Molecule: RNA transcript, 4274 nt
Organism: Galeopterus variegatus (Sunda flying lemur)
Lineage: Eukaryota; Metazoa; Chordata; Mammalia; Dermoptera; Cynocephalidae
Gene: EFNB2
Gene name: ephrin-B2
Exons: 6
Source: RefSeq, a predicted model, not a curated record
GCCAUGGCCGUGAGGAGGGACCCCGUGUGGAAGUACUGCUGGGGAGUUUUGAUGGUUUUAUGCAGAACUGCCAUGUCCAGAUCGAUAGUUUUAGAGCCUAUCUAUUGGAAUUCCUCCAACUCCAAAUUUCUACCUGGACAAGGACUGGUACUAUACCCACAGAUAGGAGACAAAUUGGACAUUAUUUGCCCCAAAGUGGACUCUAAAACUGUUGGCCAGUAUGAAUAUUAUAAAGUUUACAUGGUUGAUAAAGACCAGGCAGACAGAUGCACUAUUAAGAAGGAAAACACCCCUCUCCUCAACUGUGCCAGACCAGACCAAGAUGUAAAAUUCACGAUCAAGUUUCAAGAAUUCAGUCCUAAUCUCUGGGGUCUAGAAUUUCAGAAGAACAAAGAUUAUUACAUUAUAUCUACAUCAAAUGGGUCUUUGGAGGGCCUGGAUAACCAGGAGGGAGGGGUGUGCCAGACAAGAGCCAUGAAGAUCCUCAUGAAAGUUGGACAAGAUGCGAGUUCCGCUGGAUCAACCAGGAAAAAUGAUGCAACAAGACGUCCAGAACUAGAAGCUGGUACAAAUGGAAGAAGUUCAACGACAAGUCCCUUUGUAAAACCAAAUCCAGGUUCUAGCACCGACGGCAGCAGCGCCGGGCAUUCGGGGAACAACAUCCUCGGUUCCGAAGUGGCCUUAUUCGCAGGGAUUGCUUCAGGAUGCAUCAUCUUCAUUGUCAUCAUCAUCACGCUGGUGGUGCUCCUGCUCAAGUACCGCAGGAGACACCGCAAGCACUCGCCUCAGCACACGACCACGCUGUCGCUGAGCACGCUGGCCACGCCCAAGCGAGGCGGCAACAACAACGGCUCCGAGCCCAGUGACAUUAUCAUCCCCUUAAGGACCGCGGACAGCGUCUUCUGCCCCCACUACGAGAAGGUCAGCGGGGAUUACGGGCACCCGGUGUACAUAGUGCAGGAGAUGCCCCCGCAGAGUCCCGCGAACAUUUACUACAAGGUCUGAGGAGAGCCUGGCGGUACCUUCACGUUCCCAGAGGAGACGGACUGUCCCCAUGCCUCCUGGGGAGGGGCCAGGAGCCAGUGUGCUGCCGAUUGACUGAAGCACAGCCCCCGAGGAGAGGGGACACUCCUUCCCGCAGAGCCCUGCUGAGCUGGACAGCUGACCCGGCCUGGGUGGGCACAGACGGUCACUGAAGCUGGGGGCUGUGUGUAGGGGAUACCAUUGGGACUGCUGGUACAUUAGGCGUCUCAUCCCGAAGCCACGUGCUGCCCGAACUCAGGCCGCGUGAGUCCGGGAAGACAGUGGUUUGUGGCCGCAGGGGCAGUGAGCUCCCUGGGAAAGCGCCCUGGCCACCCCAGAAUGCCACGCUUGCAAGACCGGCUCUGCCUCGGGCGUGUCCCCCCGAGGUGCCUACUGGACUUGUCACACGGACCUCGGGCUCCGUAAGGUUUUCAAAUCUCUCUAGCGUUUAGUCCUCACUGUGGCACUCCUGUCUGCAGCACCUCACCUGAGAUUUCCUCCACUCCACAUUGUGCAUCACGAAUGAACACUGAGGCCUGGAGUCCCCUGCUCCAGCGUUUGCGACCACAGCUUCAGCUGAGCGGGUGACCCAUUUCUAGAAAUCAUUUUUGCUGAUAAGGUGCCCUCCAGCCAGAUGCUAGGCUGUCAGCCCAGGGAAACUAGGAGCUGGGGGGCGGGGAAAGGGCUGGCUGCAGAAGCAGGCCAAUGCAGCUGCCUCUGCAAUGGGAACUUGGGCAGGAAAAAGACGUAAAACAUUAGGUAGCACAGCACUUUGGUCUUGCUGAGAUUGAAGAGGCAAGUAGGAGACACGGUAACACACACAGUGGAUCACGGUGCAUUGGGAGGAAUUCACUGUUAUCUAAUAGCAAUGUGCAGGAAAAAAAAAAUUCCCUCUUCGUCCCGUGGAACAAAGGGGGUAUUGUUGGUAAAGGAACGGGCUGGGAGAGAAGGGAGAAAGUAGGCCGCUGAUGAUCCAUUCGGGCAGGACUGUUGUGGUACUGGCAAUAAGAUCUACAGCUCGAAGCUGUAGGAGAGUCGGUCUGCUUUGGAUGAUUUUUUAAGCAGACUCAGCUGCUAUACUUAUCACAUUUUAUUAAACACAGGGAAAGCAUUUAGGAGAAUAGCAGAGAGCCAAAUCUGACCUAGAAGUUUAAAAGCCAGAGGUCAAACAGGCUGUAAUUCCAUCAUCAUUGACGUGAUUAAAGACUUCUCAUAUAUAAAAGGUAGGUCAGAUUCCCCGUCUCCCCACAGAGGCCCCCUUCCCCGCCCCCCCUCCCCAGUCGGGCCUUAUGACACUUUGGUUGAUAGCGGUGCUGUCCGGGCCGCGAGGGCUGCAGGGCCGCUACUGCCGGAGCCACGGCACCCGGUGCCCUGUGUCCAGGUAAAGCACAUAUGGCGAACCUCUUAGAGUCCUUAAGACAGAAGUAAAUUAUGAUGUCGAGGGGGAGAAGGAAAAUAGCAUGUAUUUAUAAUAGGUAUAUAGAACACAAGGGAUAUAAAAUGAAAGAUUUUUACUAAUAUAUAUUUUAAGAUUGCACACAGUACACACCAGAAGAUGUGAAAUUCAUUUGUGGCAAUUAAGUGGUCCCAAUGCUCAGUGCUUUAAAAAAAUAAAAAUUGGACAGCUACUUCUGGGAAAAACAACAUUACUCCAAAAAUAACUAUAAUGAGAGCAAAUAGAAAAAUAAGGGAGCCCUCUGAAGGCAUCUCACGGAAUCGUAGACUAGGAGACACAAGCCCCAACACCAGGAGAUCAGUGCUGCUGCAUCAUGUACUUAGCAACGACAAGAUGUUCUGGCAUUUCUUUUCUGUGUCGGGGUCUCCCUUACCUUACAGCUGAAGUGUUCGCUAGCAGCCAGCAGGUCACACGGGGGCUGCAGUUGAAAGUUUCCUCUGGCUUCCUCCUCUCCUUCCCCCACCCCGUCCCUUCUGGGAAACAAGAAGAGUAAACAGGAAACCUACUUUUUAUGUGCUAUGCAAAAUAGACAUCUUUAACAUAGUCCUGUUACUAUGGUAACACUUUGCUUUCUGAAUUGGAAGAAAAAAAAAAUGUAGCAACAGCAUUUGAACGUUCUCAAACCUCCAGUGAGUACCUGCAAAAAUGAGUUGUCACAGAAAUUAUUAUUCCCUAUUUCCUGAACCUGAAAAUGAUGUUGGUCCAAAGUGCGUGUGUGUAUGUAUGAAUGGGUGUGUGGUAUCCAUGUGUACAUAUAUGUAUAAUAUAUAUCUACAAUAUAUAUUAUAUAUAUCUAUAUCAUAUUUCUGUGGAGGGUUGCUGUGGUGACCAGCCACAGUACAUAUGUAAUUCUUUCCAUCACCCCAACCUCUCCUUUAUGUGCAUUCAUGCAAGAUUUUCUUGUAAGCCAUCAAAAGUUACUUUUAGAAUGGGGGAGAGGGGCGCGAGGGGGAAAAAUGGGAAAUAGUCUGAUUUUAAUGAAAUUCAAUGUCCGUGUCAUUGGUUGGCUACAUUUUGGUCAUAUGCUAAACUGUGAAAAAUCAGAUGAACUGAUGAAGAGUUACCUGCAACCAAUUGAAAAUUGUUCUGUGUGUCUGUCUUGUGUCUGGUGCAGAAGAUGACAAUCUACCAACUGUCCCUUCAUUUGAAGUUGGUUCAGCUUUGGAAAGUUACUGUAAAUGCCUUGCUUGUAUUAUCAUCCCUAGUCACCUGACUUUGGAAUUUGCACCAUCAUGUUUAAGUGAAGAUGCUGUAAAUAGGUUCAGAUUUUACUGUAUAUGGAUUUGGGGUGUUACAGUAGCCUUAUUCACCUUUUUAAUAAAAAAAUACACAUGAAAACAAGACAGAAAUGGCUUUUCUUACCUAGAUUGUGUACAUAGAGCAAUGUUGGUUUUUUACAAAGUCUAAGCAAGAUGUUUUGUAUAAAAUCUGAAUUUUGCAAUGUAUUUAGCUACAGCUUGUUUAACGGCAGUGUCAUUCCCCUUUGCACUGUAAUGAGGAAAAAAAUGGUAUAAAAGGUUGCCAAAUUGCUGCAUAUUUGUGCCGUAAUUAUGUACCAUGAUAUUUAUUUAAAAUUUCGUUGUCCAAUUUGUAAGUAACACAGUAUUAUGCUUGAGUUAUAAAUAUUUUUUUCUUUUUUUGUUUUAUUUUAAUAGCCUGUCAUAGGUUUUAAAUCUGCUUUAGUUCCACAUUGCAGUUAGCCCCCAGAAAAUGAAAUCCGUGAAGUCACAUUCCACGUCUGUUUCAAACUGAAUUUGUUCUUAAAAAAAUAAAAUAUUUUUUUCCUAUGGAAAAA